UGAACGCUCCGAGAGCGAAACGCUCUGAAUUUAUGAACAGACAAUCCGGCAACGCUCUGAAUUUACGAACACACCCCCUAGGUUCCUUGCGGAUCAACUUCAUACCCACCCAUCAGCUCUGGGACGCAAAAUAGUGUUAUGUUUUGAGACAUUUUAUUUUGGAAUGUUGAACAUUUCAAAUUCGUGGAUCAUUCUUCAGUCAACUGACAGAUGAUGCAAGACUCAAAAACGACCUGGAGGAUUUACAAACUGUUACAAAAGUAUUUUAAUAUGUAAUUUGCCCAGGAAGUCCGUGCGGGAUCAGAAAGAGAAGGGAUCAUGUCAAAUGUCUCAACCUCGGUGAUAGCUCAGUCAUCACCAUCUGAUUAUACAAAGAUGUUUCAAGACAUGUUGAGACAAAGCUGAUCUACUCUAACAGCCGACUGCAAUGCUUGUCUUUUCUUAUAUAAAGAUGGAAUACAUGUCAACAACUCCGACUCAAAGACUGGACAUAGAAUAAAACUAGGGUCCUAUCUGGUGUCAAACAUUAAGCCCUUGUGGAUGAUAGGGCUUUCUGCUUCAGCAGAUUAAGCAAUAGAAGCUCUGAGAUCCCCAAACAAGAGAUGACGAUCUGGCUGUAUAGACUUGAAGAUGGUCGUUUGGAGCUCUAUAUAAACACCUUUAUCAACCCCUGUUGUUGCUUCUG
Molecule: long non-coding RNA, 685 nt
Organism: Salmo salar (Atlantic salmon)
Lineage: Eukaryota; Metazoa; Chordata; Actinopteri; Salmoniformes; Salmonidae
Source: RefSeq, a predicted model, not a curated record